RNAcentral lists this ribosomal RNA (404 nucleotides) under uncultured bacterium. Its description in RNAcentral is "bacterial SSU rRNA". It matches the Rfam family "Bacterial small subunit ribosomal RNA", at positions 355 to 776 of the family's 1533-position model. The record is from RNAcentral.
UGGGGAAUAUUGGGCAAUGGAGGAAACUCUGACCCAGCGACGCCGCGUGCGGGAUGAAGGCCUUCGGGUUGUAAACCUCUUUCGACAGGAACGAUAAUGACGGUACUUGCAGAAGAAGCACCGGCUAACUAUGUGCCAGCAGCCGCGGUAAUACAUAGGGUGCAAGCGUUGUCCGGAAUUAUUGGGCGUAAAGAGCUCGUAGGUGGUUCGUCACGUCGGAUGUGAAAAUCUGGGGCUUAACCCCAGACCUGCAUUCGAUACGGGCGAGCUAGAGUGUGGUAGGGGAGACUGGAAUUCCUGGUGUAGCGGUGGAAUGCGCAGAUAUCAGGAGGAACACCAAUGGCGAAGGCAGGUCUCUGGGCCAUUACUGACACUGAGGAGCGAAAGCGUGGGGAGCGAACAGG